GAGGUCAGGGUUUGGUCCUAGCCUUAUUAUUAACUGUUUCCCGACUUACACAUGCAAGUCUCAGCACUCCAGUGAGAACGCCCUUUAACCUUCAACAGACCAAGGAGCCGGUAUCAGGCACCACCUCCGCCCACAACACCUAGUCUCACCACACCCCCAAGGGUAGUCAGCAGUGAUUAAUCUUGUUCAUAAGCGGCAGCUUGACUCAGUCAGGGGAAAGAGGGCCGGCUAAUCUGGUGCCAGCCGCCGCGGCUACACCAUGUAGGCUCAAGUUAAUAGUAGUCGGCGUUAAGCGUGAUUAAAGUACCCUCAACUAGGGUCAAAUUAUACACUUAGUAGUUGAUAAGCUUGUUAUUAAGAAGAACACAAACGAAAGUUACCCUAGUCACCAUACUUGAAUACACGACAGCUGGGAAAACAAACUGGGAUCAGAUACCCCACUAUGCCCAGCCGUAAACAAUUAACUCACAACAACCAGCGCCUGGAAAUUACGAGCAAUGCUUAAAACCCAAAGGACUUGACGGUGUCCCACCCAACUAGAGGAGCCUGUUCUAUAAUCGAUGAUCCCCGCUAUACCUAACCAUUUCUAGCUAUUCAGUCUGUAUACCUCCGUCGAAAGCUUACCAUGUGAACGAACUUUAGUAGGCCCAAGGACCCCAUCAACACGUCAGGUCAAGGUGCAGCUUACGAGAUGGAAAGUAAUGGGCUACAAUUUCUAAUCUAGAACAAACGAAAUACUGUGUGAAACCACAGUCACGAAGGCGGAUUUAGUAGUAAAAAGAAAAUAGAGAGUUCUUUUUAACCCGGCUCUGGGACGUGUACACACCGCCCGUCACCCUCUUCGACUACAUAACAAAGUUCAUAACCCCAUUUUUUACUCUAGAAGAGGCAAGUCGUAACAUGGUAAGUGUACUGGAAAGUGGACUUGGGAUAUUA
This 936-nucleotide non-coding RNA is filed under the name Sylvirana guentheri. Its description in RNAcentral is "partial 12S ribosomal RNA". It matches the Rfam family "Bacterial small subunit ribosomal RNA". Lineage: Eukaryota; Metazoa; Chordata; Amphibia; Anura; Ranidae. The record is from RNAcentral.